Long non-coding RNA from Oreochromis niloticus (Nile tilapia), 348 nucleotides. RefSeq lists it as uncharacterized. The transcript is spliced from 2 exons. Lineage: Eukaryota; Metazoa; Chordata; Actinopteri; Cichliformes; Cichlidae. The record is from RefSeq and is a predicted model, not a curated record.
UGCCUUACUUUCAGUUAAUGUAUUUUGUUUUGCAUUAUGCACAUUUUAUAUGCCAUUAGGUCAUUUAUUGUAACAAUUCUCAGGUAGGAACUAUUGUGCUACAUGUUGGUUCCACUGGUGCACCUGAGGGAGAUGCACACCCAUGUUGAUGUGAGCAUGGCAAAUCGAAGCGAGAGAAGCUAAUUUAAGUCAGAGUAGUUCGUCUCUUAAAGUAUCUGUAAAGCGCUCAUUUCUGCCUCAAGGCAUGGGUCAGCCAGCGAGUUCGACGGUGGCGUAGUUGUGAUUAAGGUGAAGCUGUAACAACCCCAAGACCUUACAACGAACAUUAAAGACAACUUCAUGCCAUCA